GCAAACUUGGUCAUUUAGAGGAAGUAAAAGUCGUAACAAGGUAACCGUAGGUGAACCUGCGGUUGGAUCAUUACUGAGUGCGAAAAAAAUUUUCCCCCAUUGUGAACUGUUAUUAUUUCUUUGGUGGCCCAAAAUAUGUCGGCGCGUCUUUGUUGUAUAGUUACUCACUUUGAUCGAGGUCUUGUGAGUCAUCCAUAUUCAAGGACGCGACUUCGGGCCACCUAGUUAUGUUAAAUUCCUUGUUUAAAUGUAAUUUUUGUCUUUUACGUGAUUCCGCGUUAUUGAGCGGAUCCAACAAUAAAACAAGAACAACUUUUGACAAUGGAUCUCUUGGCUCUUGCAUCGAUGAAGAACGCAGC
Molecule: unclassified non-coding RNA, 359 nt
Filed under: uncultured fungus
Lineage: Eukaryota; Fungi
Description: partial contains small subunit ribosomal RNA, internal transcribed spacer 1, and 5.8S ribosomal RNA
Rfam family: Eukaryotic small subunit ribosomal RNA (bases 1-73)
Source: RNAcentral